GACGAACGCUGGCGGCGUGCUUAACACAUGCAAGUCGAGCGGUAAGGCCCUUUCGGGGGUACACGAGCGGCGAACGGGUGAGUAACACGUGGGUGACCUGCCCUUAGCUCUGGGAUAAGCCUGGGAAACUGGGUCUAAUACCGGAUAUGACUCCAUGACGCAUGUUGUGGGGUGGAAAGCCUUGUGCGGCUAGGGAUGGGCCUGCGGCCUAUCAGCUUGUUGGUGGGGUGAGGCCUACCAAGGCGACGACGGGUAGCCGGCCUGAGAGGGCGACCGGCCACACUGGGACUGAGACACGGCCCAGACUCCUACGGGAGGCAGCAGUGGGGAAUCUUGCGCAAU
RNAcentral lists this ribosomal RNA (342 nucleotides) under uncultured bacterium. Its description in RNAcentral is "bacterial SSU rRNA". It matches the Rfam family "Bacterial small subunit ribosomal RNA", at positions 28 to 372 of the family's 1533-position model. The record is from RNAcentral.